RNAcentral lists this transfer RNA (64 nucleotides) under Trichogomphus mongol. RNAcentral's name for it is "tRNA-Gly". Lineage: Eukaryota; Metazoa; Arthropoda; Insecta; Coleoptera; Scarabaeidae. The record is from RNAcentral.
AUUUAUAUAGUAUAAUUAAUAUUUUUGACUUCCAAUCGAAAGAUCUAAAAAUUUAGUAUAAAUA